AUUGAACGCUGGCGGCAGGCCUAACACAUGCAAGUCGAGCGGAUGAAGGGAGCUUGCUCCUGGAUUCAGCGGCGGACGGGUGAGUAAUGCCUAGGAAUCUGCCUGGUAGUGGGGGAUAACGUCCGGUAACGUGCGCUAAUACCGCAUACGUCCUGAGGGAGAAAGUGGGUGAUCUUCGGACCUCACGCUCUCAGAUGAGCUUAGGUCGGAUUAGCUAGUUGGUGGGGUAAAGGCCUACCAAGGCGACGAUCCGUAACUGGUCUGAGAGGGUGAUCAGUCACACUGGAACUGAGACACGGUCCAGACUCCUACGGGAGGCAGCAGUGGGGAAUAUUGGACAAUGGGCGAAAGCCUGAUCCAGCCAUGCCGCGUGUGUGAAGAAGGUCUUCGGAUUGUAAAGCACUUUAAGUUGGGAGGAAGGGCAGUAAGUUAAUACCUUGCUGUUUUGACGUUACCAACAGAAUAAGCACCGGCUAACUUCGUG
Molecule: ribosomal RNA, 484 nt
Filed under: uncultured bacterium
Lineage: Bacteria
Description: partial 16S ribosomal RNA
Rfam family: Bacterial small subunit ribosomal RNA
Source: RNAcentral